AUUGAACGCUGGCGGCAUGCUUUACACAUGCAAGUCGAACGGUAACAGGCCGCCAGGUGCUGACGAGUGGCGAACGGGUGAGUAAUGCAUCGGAACGUGCCCAGUCGUGGGGGAUAACUACUCGAAAGAGUAGCUAAUACUGCAUACGAUCUAUGGAUGAAAGCGGGGGACCGUAAGGCCUCGCGCGAUUUGAGCGGCCGAUGUCAGAUUAGGUAGUUGGUGGGGUAAAGGCUCACCAAGCCAACGAUCUGUAGCUGGUCUGAGAGGACGACCAGCCACACUGGGACUGAGACACGGCCCAGACUCCUACGGGAGGCAGCAGUGGGGAAUUUUGGACAAUGGGCGCAAGCCUGAUCCAGCAAUGCCGCGUGCAGGAAGAAGGCCUUCGGGUUGUAAACUGCUUUUGUACGGAACGAAACGGCUCUGGUUAAUACCCGGGGCUAAUGACGGUACCGUAAGAAUAAGCACCGGCUAACUACGUG
RNAcentral lists this ribosomal RNA (482 nucleotides) under uncultured bacterium. RNAcentral describes it as "partial 16S ribosomal RNA". It matches the Rfam family "Bacterial small subunit ribosomal RNA", at positions 30 to 507 of the family's 1533-position model. The record is from RNAcentral.